GAUGAAGAACGUAGCGAAAUGCGAUAAGUAAUGCGAAUUGCAGAAUUCAGUGAGUCAUCGAAUCUUUGAACGCACAUUGCGCCCUGUGGUAUUCCGCAGGGCAUGCCUGUUCGAGCGUCAUUUCAACCCUCAAGCCUCGCUUGGUGUUGGGCCCUGCCCGCCGCGGCCGGCCCUAAAGAUAGUGGCGGCGCCGCCUGGCCCUCAGCGUAGUACAGCUCUCGCUCCAGGGUCCGGCGGCAGCCUGCCAGAACCCCCCAACUCUGUGGUUGACCUCGGAUCAGGUAGGGAUACCCGCUGAACUUAAGCAUAUCAAUAAGCGGAGAA
Molecule: unclassified non-coding RNA, 324 nt
Filed under: soil metagenome
Description: partial contains 5.8S ribosomal RNA, internal transcribed spacer 2, and large subunit ribosomal RNA
Rfam family: 5.8S ribosomal RNA (bases 1-120)
Source: RNAcentral